GCCCCACCGUCGACGCCGACCACCUCUGGUCUCUCGGCCCCGAUGGCGUCAAGGAUCCCAUCAUGGCUUAUGAUGACUAUUCUGCCCUCUUGACCGGUAUCACCCCGCCUUGCUACUCCGAGAUUCGCGGGCAGAAUGACUUUACCGACAGCCCCCGUUAUCAAACCCCUGUUGUUGAUGGAAUUCUUCCUUGGGCUCCCUUUAGGACGACGGAAAUUCUCACCGGCCGCCAUUCUCCUCCUCACCUUCCUCCAAACCCUAAAAAUUCCCUCAAGAACAGCCUCCCGAGUAGAGAGCAUGGUGUGAGGGAAGGAGACAGGGACUGGGGCG
This 330-nucleotide long non-coding RNA is filed under the name Elaeis guineensis (African oil palm). Its description in RNAcentral is "long non-coding RNA (EGUI_LNC036323)". The record is from RNAcentral. Lineage: Eukaryota; Viridiplantae; Streptophyta; Magnoliopsida; Arecales; Arecaceae.